GGCUCCACAAGAGCAGAAAAGUCCUUCUCCCACAUGGGAAGAACAACUAUUAUUUAUGAGCCUGUCUGAAGAGGAGCUCCACAUGAGGAGGGACAGGGGAGCUGUCUGGGAGCUGUCCGAGCAUCGGUUCAUGACACCAAGUUGUACUGGAGGCUUGUGAGGACAGGCCUGGAGGAGGAGGAGGAGGCAACGAGAGCCGGGAUUUCCUCUGGCCAUCUUUCCAAUCAGCCCAGUGACCUUUAUUUACUCUUCUUCUUCUUUUUUCUUUUUCAUUGUUUACUUUUUAAUUUUCAUUUAA
This is a long non-coding RNA of Peromyscus maniculatus bairdii (prairie deer mouse), 298 nucleotides long. RefSeq lists it as uncharacterized. Lineage: Eukaryota; Metazoa; Chordata; Mammalia; Rodentia; Cricetidae. The record is from RefSeq and is a predicted model, not a curated record.